RNAcentral lists this non-coding RNA (86 nucleotides) under Nitrosomonas ureae. RNAcentral's name for it is "GEMM cis-regulatory element". It matches the Rfam family "c-di-GMP-I riboswitch aptamer". From Rfam's summary of the family: GEMM was predicted in a large-scale screen for bacterial structured RNA regulatory elements. The record is from RNAcentral. Lineage: Bacteria; Pseudomonadati; Pseudomonadota; Betaproteobacteria; Nitrosomonadales; Nitrosomonadaceae.
AUCUGAAAAGGGCAAACCUCGCGAAAGUGGGGGACGCAAAGUCUAUAUCUACAGGGUAAACGCCUCAGGAUAGCAUGACUGCCAGA